UUCACAGCACUAGAAAAUGAAGUGUUCUGUUUAUUCACAGAAAAGGUACAGCAUGGGCCACAGCAGACAGUUUCCCCAUAAUACCUUCCCUCUCCAGGACAGAAGGGGGCAGAAGGUAGUUUACUUUCCAUGCCCUUUCCCCCCUCCUUUGCA
Molecule: small RNA, 153 nt
Filed under: Chrysemys picta bellii (western painted turtle)
Lineage: Eukaryota; Metazoa; Chordata; Testudines; Emydidae
Description: TUC338 (ENSCPBG00000011727.1)
Source: RNAcentral